This 64-nucleotide transfer RNA is filed under the name Halocynthia aurantium. Its description in RNAcentral is "tRNA-Asp". Lineage: Eukaryota; Metazoa; Chordata; Ascidiacea; Stolidobranchia; Pyuridae. The record is from RNAcentral.
GAGUUGUUAGAAUUAAGUUUAAUUCGAAUUGUUGUCAACAAUUAGAUCCUUACAGGACAGUUCU